ACUCAAAGGAAUUGACGGGGACCCGCACAAGCGGUGGAUGAUGUGGAUUAAUUCGAUGCAACGCGAAAAACCUUACCUACCCUUGACAUGUCUGGAAGUUUGAUGAAAGUCGAAUGUGCUCGAAAGAGAACCAGAACACAGGUGCUGCAUGGCUGUCGUCAGCUCGUGUCGUGAGAUGUUGGGUUAAGUCCCGCAACGAGCGCAACCCUUGUCAUUAGUUGCUACAUUUAGUUGGGCACUCUAAUGAGACUGCCGGUGACAAACCGGAGGAAGGUGGGGAUGACGUCAAGUCCUCAUGGCCCUUAUGGGUAGGGCUUCACACGUCAUACAAUGGUCGGUACAGAGGGUUGCCAAACCGCGAGGUGGAGCCAAUCUCAGAAAGCCGAUCGUAGUCCGGAUUGUAGUCUGCAACUCGACUACAUGAAGUCGGAAUCGCUAGUAAUCGCGGAUCAGCAUGUCGCGGUGAAUACGUUCCCGGGUCUUGUACACACCGCCCGU
RNAcentral lists this ribosomal RNA (498 nucleotides) under uncultured bacterium. RNAcentral describes it as "partial 16S ribosomal RNA". It matches the Rfam family "Bacterial small subunit ribosomal RNA", at positions 899 to 1397 of the family's 1533-position model. The record is from RNAcentral.